Molecule: antisense RNA, 509 nt
Filed under: Streptomyces agglomeratus
Lineage: Bacteria; Bacillati; Actinomycetota; Actinomycetes; Kitasatosporales; Streptomycetaceae
Description: Saccharopolyspora sRNA 350
Rfam family: Saccharopolyspora sRNA 350
Source: Rfam by way of RNAcentral
CGGACCGUGCACGCCCAGGUGUCUUCCUCCUCGACGAGCGCCUGGUCGCCGAAGUAGGCCCCGUCGGCGAGGACUCCGAGGACCGCCUCGUCGUCGUACGCCCCGUCGGCGACCUUCUCCACCCUGCCGUGCGCCAGCAGAUAGACCGUGUCCGCGGCAUCACCGGCGGCCGCGAUCACGUCUCCCGCCGCGUACUCCCGCUGCUCGCACCGCUGGGCCAGCUCGGCCAGCACCCCCUCGUCGCCGUACGUCCUGAGCGCCGGCAGCUCGUUCAGCUCGCCGGGAAUGACCUCGACGCGCUCCCCGGUCUGUACGAAAGUCACCCGCCCGUCGCCCACCGCGUAACUGAGCCGCCGGUUCACCCGGUACGUACCGCCCUGGACCUGGACCCACGGCAGCAUCCGCAGCAGCCACCGCGAGGUGAUCUCCUGCAUCUGCGGUGCGGACUUGGUGGUGGUCGCCAAGUUCCGCGCUGCGGCCGUACCGAGACUCUGCUGCGGCUGCGCCUG